This 497-nucleotide ribosomal RNA is filed under the name uncultured bacterium. Its description in RNAcentral is "partial 16S ribosomal RNA". It matches the Rfam family "Bacterial small subunit ribosomal RNA", at positions 28 to 507 of the family's 1533-position model. The record is from RNAcentral.
GACGAACGCUGGCGGCGUGCCUAAUACAUGCAAGUAGAACGCUGAAGCGAGGAGCUUGCUCUUCUUGGAUGAGUUGCGAACGGGUGAGUAACGCGUAGGUAACCUGCCUGGUAGCGGGGGAUAACUAUUGGAAACGAUAGCUAAUACCGCAUAAAAUUGAUUAUUGCAUGAUACUUAAUUGAAAGAUGCAACUGCAUCACUACCAGAUGGACCUGCGUUGUAUUAGCUAGUUGGUGAGGUAACGGCUCACCAAAGGGAAGAUACAUUGCCGACCUGAGAGGGUGAUGCGCCAACCCGGGAAUGAGAAACGGCCCAGGCCUCCUCGGGAGGCAGCAGUAGGGGAGUCUCGGGAAGGGGGGGAACCCUGACCGGGGAACGCCGCGUGAGUGAAGGAGGGUUUCGGGUCGUAAAGCUCUGUUGUAAGAGGAGAACGGAUGUGGGAGUGGAAAGUUCACACUGUGACGGUAUCUUACCAGAAAGGGACGGCUAACUACGUG